This 473-nucleotide ribosomal RNA is filed under the name uncultured bacterium. RNAcentral describes it as "bacterial SSU rRNA". It matches the Rfam family "Bacterial small subunit ribosomal RNA", at positions 8 to 524 of the family's 1533-position model. The record is from RNAcentral.
AGAGUUUGAUCCUGGCUCAGGAUGAACGCUGGCGGUAUGCUUAACACGUGCAAGUCGGACGGGAAGUGGUGUUUCCAGUGGCAGACGGGUGAGUAACGCGUAAGAACCUGCCCUUGGGAGGGGAACAAUAGCUGGAAAUGACUGCUAAUACCCCAUAGGCUGAGGAGAAAAAGGGGGAAUCUGCCCAAGGAGGGGCUCGCGUCUGAUUAGUUAGUUGGUGAGGCAAUGGCUUACCAAGGCGACGAUCAGUAGCUGGUCUGAGAGGAUGAUCAACCACGCUGGGACUGAGACAUGGCCCAGACUCCUACGGGAGGAAGCAGUGGGGAAUUUUCUGCAAUGGGCGACAGCCUGAUGGAGCAAUGCCGCGUGAAGGCAAAAGGCCCACGAGUCAUGAACUUCUUUUCUCGGAGAAGAAAAAUGACGGUCUCUGAGGAAUAAGCAUCAGCUAGAUCUGUGCCAGCAGCCGCGGUAAU